Molecule: long non-coding RNA, 1437 nt
Filed under: Cairina moschata (Muscovy duck)
Lineage: Eukaryota; Metazoa; Chordata; Aves; Anseriformes; Anatidae
Description: domestica (muscovy Duck (domestic type)) lncRNA (ENSCMMG00000015740.1)
Source: RNAcentral
GGAAGAUCUGCCCUAGCCCAGGUCCCCACCACACAUCACCACCCGUGCAGCCGGCUCAGCACACCCAGGGGCUGCCGGAGGACUCCCAGACGGGGUCGCCCCGACCCUCUGCCCCGCUCCCACCCCACAGCGAGCAUCCCCGAGGAAAAACUGAAAUGCAGCUCCCUAUCCGCUGGCAGCCAUAGCGCGAGCAGGGUGACCUCAUCGCGAGGCAAGUCUCAGCAUGUCCGGGCAAGCCCCGACAGGUGCCGGGCAGGGGACACGUUCCGACACCCGGCCCGGCCACCCUCAGCCCUGCCCGCCUCCGCCACGCCCCGAGGUCCCCAUCCUCCAGCCGCCGCGGGGGCCCGGCUGCCACCACGCAGCUUCGGCCUGAGUCACGGCUGCGAGCGGCCGAACGCGGAAGGACCGGGGCCAGGUCGCCGUCCCCUCCCACGGGGGUGGCUCCGCUCCGCAGCCUCCCCAGCUCCGCGGGCCGGGCCGGCAGGUGAUGCGGGCGCACGCUCGGACCUCGUCCGGCGAGGCCGAGACGCUCUCGGGCGCGGCGAGCGACAAUCCCCUCGUCCCCCUCCCGGCCCCGCUGGCACCUGCGGCACCGGGACCUGCCCGCUCCCGGUUCCACCCGCUCGCUGCGAGGAGAUCCCGCACCCGGUAGCGGACGCGACGCUAAGCCCGGGGAAGGGGCAAAGGGCGCCGCGCUCACAGCGCCAACGGCCCGGAGCGGGGAAGGGGCUCCCGCCCCACCGCCCCCGGCUCGGCUGGGGCGAGGGGUGCUCUGCGGGCCGCCGCCACCGGGGGGCGAGCGCCACCCGGCAUCGGGCCACCCUAAACCCGGCCGCCACCUCCCCGCUCCCCCGUUACCGGCGCACAGCCACCGCCCUCCCAGCUGCUGCAGCAGCGGCGGCAGCGAGGAGGAGGAGGAGGAGGAGGAGGAGGAAGAGGAGUAGGAGUAGGAGCUGCUGCUGCCGCUGCCGCCUCCUCCUCCUCCUGCAGCCUGACCCCGGCGAGCACCAGUGCCCGCAGGGCGAUGCGGCCCGCACCGAGCGCCGUCGCCGCCGCACUCACCCUCGCGUCGCCGCUCCCGUCGCUGCCCGGUGCCGCUCUCCGCCCUUUAUAGCGGGGCGGGGCGGGCCGGGGCGGUGCCUCCCGCCGCUCACGGCGUCUCCCGGGAUUUCCCCCCCCCGCCCCCGCGUCUCGGCCCCACCCCGGCCCCGACCCGGGGCGUCCGGGGGGAUGUGGGGCCUGCCGGACAGGGGCCGCGGGGCGAUGCGGGAACCCCCCAUCAGCGGAUGCAGGAAACGGGGGCCGCCCCCUUGCCAAGCAAGAGACGCUGGGAUCUUCAGCAACGGCGUUUUUGCUGGCUGGAGGGGGCUCCGCAUCCCACCGCGGUCUUUCCUGGGUCGCUGGAGGGCGGAAUUCAAAUGGGAAGGGGAAUGA